This 303-nucleotide ribosomal RNA is filed under the name Triticum aestivum (bread wheat). Its description in RNAcentral is "partial small subunit ribosomal RNA". Lineage: Eukaryota; Viridiplantae; Streptophyta; Magnoliopsida; Poales; Poaceae. The record is from RNAcentral.
AUGGGAAAACCUAAUACGAUUGCUGUCAAUCCCAACCCUAACUCUUCCAGGUUCUGGAAGGGAUUCCAAUCUAUUAUUCAAAACCUUAAGUUUGGUUUUAGAUGGAAAGUGGCCAGUGGAGAGAGAGUCAGAUUCUGGGAAGACACCUGGUUCGGGACAUCACCACUAGCUACCCAAUUCUGAUCUAUUUACGUUGUUUGCAAUGAGCAAACUAAAACUAUUAAAGAGGUGUGGGAUGGAGAAACCCUCAGACUGACCUUUAGGAGAAAUUUUGAUAGCAAGCUCAUGGAGCAAUGGUACUAG